This 1343-nucleotide ribosomal RNA is filed under the name uncultured bacterium. RNAcentral's name for it is "bacterial SSU rRNA". It matches the Rfam family "Bacterial small subunit ribosomal RNA", at positions 28 to 1381 of the family's 1533-position model. The record is from RNAcentral.
GAUGAACGCUGGCGGCGUGCUUAGCACAUGCAAGUCGAACGGUGAAGCAGAGCUUGCUCUGUGGAUCAGUGGCGAACGGGUGAGUAACACGUGAGCAACCUGCCCCUGACUCUGGGAUAAGCGCUGGAAACGGCGUCUAAUACUGGAUAUGAGCUGCGACCGCAUGGUCAGCAGUUGGAAAGAUUUUUCGGUCUGGGAUGGGCUCACGGCCUAUCAGCUUGUUGGUGAGGUAAUGGCUCACCAAGGCGUCGACGGGUAGCCGGCCUGAGAGGGUGACCGGCCACACUGGGACUGAGACACGGCCCAGACUCCUACGGGAGGCAGCAGUGGGGAAUAUUGCACAAUGGGCGAAAGCCUGAUGCAGCAACGCCGCGUGAGGGAUGACGGCCUUCGGGUUGUAAACCUCUUUUAGCAGGGAAGAAGCGAAAGUGACGGUACCUGCAGAAAAAGCGCCGGCUAACUACGUGCCAGCAGCCGCGGUAAUACGUAGGGCGCAAGCGUUAUCCGGAAUUAUUGGGCGUAAAGAGCUCGUAGGCGGUUUGUCGCGUCUGCUGUGAAAUCCCGAGGCUCAACCUCGGGUCUGCAGUGGGUACGGGCAGACUAGAGUGCGGUAGGGGAGAUUGGAAUUCCUGGUGUAGCGGUGGAAUGCGCAGAUAUCAGGAGGAACACCGAUGGCGAAGGCAGAUCUCUGGGCCGUUACUGACGCUGAGGAGCGAAAGGGUGGGGAGCAAACAGGCUUAGAUACCCUGGUAGUCCACCCCGUAAACGUUGGGAACUAGUUGUGGGGUCCAUUCCACGGAUUCCGUGACGCAGCUAACGCAUUAAGUUCCCCGCCUGGGGAGUACGGCCGCAAGGCUAAAACUCAAAGGAAUUGACGGGGACCCGCACAAGCGGCGGAGCAUGCGGAUUAAUUCGAUGCAACGCGAAGAACCUUACCAAGGCUUGACAUAUACGAGAACGGGCCAGAAAUGGUCAACUCUUUGGACACUCGUAAACAGGUGGUGCAUGGUUGUCGUCAGCUCGUGUCGUGAGAUGUUGGGUUAAGUCCCGCAACGAGCGCAACCCUCGUUCUAUGUUGCCAGCACGUAAUGGUGGGAACUCAUGGGAUACUGCCGGGGUCAACUCGGAGGAAGGUGGGGAUGACGUCAAAUCAUCAUGCCCCUUAUGUCUUGGGCUUCACGCAUGCUACAAUGGCCGGUACAAAGGGCUGCAAUACCGCGAGGUGGAGCGAAUCCCAAAAAGCCGGUCCCAGUUCGGAUUGAGGUCUGCAACUCGACCUCAUGAAGUCGGAGUCGCUAGUAAUCGCAGAUCAGCAACGCUGCGGUGAAUACGUUCCCGGGUCU